Molecule: non-coding RNA, 81 nt
Organism: Mycena metata
Lineage: Eukaryota; Fungi; Basidiomycota; Agaricomycetes; Agaricales; Mycenaceae
Source: the annotation of a GenBank genome assembly
GACCUGGUGGUGAAUGGUUCACACCCACUCUUAUUAGGCCAUAUAAAGUGGGAGUACUCGGUUCGAUUCCGGGCUAGGUUA